CAGAGUCAAGACUAACGAUAAGAGUCGGCAGAAAGAGAUAGUUGGGCAUUCUCGGCCACCAAACUAAAGUCCGAGAUCGAACCCUUUCCUAAUGAGUUUCCUUUACAAGAUUUCCAACUUAUCGAAAGCAGAGUUGUUAAGGAUUGUCUCUGGGAAUCGAGAUCAAAGAAUGAGCCGCGUGUUCCAUCCACUAGAGUUGAGUUUUCUCUCUAAAUUAUUUGUUUCACUCCAUAACCUCAACAUUCUACAAUUUGUUUACAUUUUCCUUAUCACUUUAUUCACUUAACCUGAAAUUUCAUUUACUUGAAAUGAUACCAUGUCUCAUUCAAUUAUGUCAAAUUUUAGUAUUUCCUAGAUACAGAGUGCUAUUUUUAAAUGACUUGACAUUGGAUACACCUUCAAAUUUGUUAUCUUUAAUAUGAACUAUAAAAAGGAUAAAUUUCAAAUUUGUCUUUGUAUUUUUAGACAUUUUUUAAUCUCCAUGGAUUAUUUCUAUUUCUGAUUUUCUUACAAACUAUAACAUAUCUGAAGUUGUGAGCAUGAUGAGAAGACAGAGAGCAAAUAGCUAAUUGCUUUAUUUAUUUAUUUAUUUUCGAUAAAUUGUUACAACUAGUGGGGGAGGGGAUUUGAACCCUGGUUCUCGAUACAAAAGAAACCAGUCAAUGGAAUUGAGUUACAAGGCUCUUGGUGUGUCUUGUUGUAAUUGAUCAAAUUAAUUAGAUAAGGCGGAAUGAAAUGUUUUCUGAUUUAUUAUUGAAAAACAUACAUCUGUAUAUUAUAAGCUUGUCAUGAAUUUUGGUUGCUGAGAUUACUGUUAGACUCUGCAGACACUUGCUCAGUAAGCAGCACAUCUGUUAAAUAAAUGAUUAGAGACAUAUUUGGUAAGUACUCUGUAGAAACUCUAGACAUGUUUCCUCACAGUCUUUUUUGUGUGUUCAUGAAUAUGUGCAUAAAUGAAUGGAUGAAGAAACCAAACUGCAGUCCAUCAAAGCAAAUAACUAUGAAUUUAAAAAUUUUGCAUUGGCAUAAAUUGCAGUAGAAGCAAUGGCUGAUAGUGGGGUAGCUGCAGCCUUACCACAAGAAAUUGCAUUGAAACUAUUACUAUUAGAAAUAGAGAGGAUUAGGAUUCCCCAUGGUGGUAGAAGAAUCUCUACCAGCAAGCCGGUGGCAGAAGUUCCUAAAAUGACGCACAUUCUCCUGCCUAUAUGGAGGUAGCUUGUGUUGAGAGUUGGGUGGCUUAUCCCUGCCAAUGUUAAAGCGUAACCAAUCACAAGUACAAUAAAAGAUGACAUAAUUGCACCAUGCGUUUGAAAUGGGUUGCCAGAGUUUUGAUACUUGACUUGUAGAAGGGCAAGCAGCGCUAAAAUGAGAAAACCUAAAGCAGUAUGGACUUUGGUGGAGGAACCAAGUUGUUGGCGACUGUGAAAAACAGAGAGGAAAAAAAACAUAGAAUUGCCUCAGAUUACAUGCAAUAUUAAUGGAUAUACAGUUGAUGAAUGAGCAGAAGGAAUAUCCAUGACAUUCGAUUUGCCAACAAAAUAUUUUCUUGUAAUUAGAUUAAUGCUCAUAUUUAAUUUAGAGGUGCAAGUUAAAUUAUUUGCCAAGUCUUUCAAUUUUGUGUCACUAUCAAGUUACUUUUAUUAUCCUCUUGCUUACAUCUAAUAUUCCUCUAGAAAGAAAUAAACCCCAGUUUUUAUUUU
Quercus lobata is the source of this 1700-nucleotide long non-coding RNA. RefSeq lists it as uncharacterized. NCBI's taxonomy places the organism in Eukaryota, Viridiplantae, Streptophyta, Magnoliopsida, Fagales, Fagaceae. The record is from RefSeq and is a predicted model, not a curated record. The transcript is spliced from 2 exons.